GAAAGCCGGAUUAAUACCGCAUACGAUCUAAGGAUGAAAGCGGGGGAUCUUCGGACCUCGCGCUAUAGGGUUGGCCGAUGGCUGAUUAGCUAGUUGGUGGGGUAAAGGCCUACCAAGGCGACGAUCAGUAGCUGGUCUGAGAGGACGACCAGCCACACUGGGACUGAGACACGGCCCAGACUCCUACGGGAGGCAGCAGUGGGGAAUUUUGGACAAUGGGCGAAAGCCUGAUCCAGCAAUGCCGCGUGUGUGAAGAAGGCCUUCGGGUUGUAAAGCACUUUUGUCCGGAAAGAAAUCAUCCUGGCUAAUAUCCGGGGUGGAUGACGGUACCGGAAGAAUAAGCACCGGCUAACUACGUGCCAGCAGCCGCGGUAAUACGUAGGGUGCGAGCGUUAAUCGGAAUUACUGGGCGUAAAGCGUGCGCAGGCGGUUUGUUAAGACAGAUGUGAAAUCCCCGGGCUUAACCUGGGAACUGCAUUUGUGACUGGCAAGCUAGAGUAUGGCAGAGGGGGGUAGAAUUCCACGUGUAGCAGUGAAAUGCGUAGAGAUGUGGAGGAAUACCGAUGGCGAAGGCAGCCCCCUGGGCCAAUACUGACGCUCA
Molecule: ribosomal RNA, 601 nt
Filed under: Burkholderia sp.
Lineage: Bacteria; Pseudomonadati; Pseudomonadota; Betaproteobacteria; Burkholderiales; Burkholderiaceae
Description: bacterial SSU rRNA
Rfam family: Bacterial small subunit ribosomal RNA
Source: RNAcentral